UAGUAUUAAGUUCCCUGGAUUAAGUGUUUAGUUGUUUAAAAUAUUACGAACUGAGGCCCGUUUUCUUG
RNAcentral lists this transfer RNA (68 nucleotides) under Nanorana taihangnica (Taihangshan swelled-vented frog). RNAcentral describes it as "tRNA-Asn". Lineage: Eukaryota; Metazoa; Chordata; Amphibia; Anura; Dicroglossidae. The record is from RNAcentral.